Molecule: ribosomal RNA, 474 nt
Filed under: Calonarius dibaphus
Lineage: Eukaryota; Fungi; Basidiomycota; Agaricomycetes; Agaricales; Cortinariaceae
Description: eukaryotic LSU rRNA
Rfam family: 5.8S ribosomal RNA (bases 144-297)
Source: RNAcentral
GAUUGCUAGCUUUUUUAGUUAGCCUUAGGAUUGAGGAUUGACUUUAUGUCUCUUCUUACAUCUCCAGGUCUAUGUUUCUUCAAAUACCCCAAUGUAUGUUUUUAGAAUGUAAUUAUUAGGCCUUUGUGCCUAUAAGUCUAUACAACUUUCAGCAACGGAUCUCUUGGCUCUCGCAUCGAUGAAGAACGCAGCGAAAUGCGAUAAGUAAUGUGAAUUGCAGAAUUCAGUGAAUCAUCGAAUCUUUGAACGCACCUUGCGCUCCUUGGUAUUCCGAGGAGCAUGCCUGUUUGAGUGUCAUUAAUAUAUCAACCUCUUUGGUUGGAUCUGGGUUUGCUGGCCUCAUUGAUAUCAGCUCUCCUUAAAUGUAUUAGCAGACAACAUUUUGCCAAACGCUCAUUGGGUGUGAUAAUUAUCUACGCUAUUGACGUGAAGCAUGUUUUGCUUAUAACUGUCCAUUGACUUGGACAAAUUUUC